UACGGAGGACCCUAGCGUUGUUCGGAUUUACUGGGCGUAAAGGGCGUGUAGGCGGGCUCGUCAGUCGGGUGUGAAAGCCCUCGGCUCAACCGAGGAACUGUGUCCGAAACAGCGAGCCUUGAGUACAGCAGAGGAGAGUGGAACUCCUGGUGGAGCGGUGAAAUGCGUAGAUAUCAGGAGGAACGCCGGAGGCGAAAGCGACUCUCUGGGCUGUUACUGACGCUGAGGCGCGAAAGCCAGGGGAGCAAACGGG
This 253-nucleotide ribosomal RNA is filed under the name uncultured bacterium. Its description in RNAcentral is "partial 16S ribosomal RNA". It matches the Rfam family "Bacterial small subunit ribosomal RNA", at positions 524 to 776 of the family's 1533-position model. The record is from RNAcentral.